Osmia bicornis bicornis is the source of this 4504-nucleotide RNA transcript. RefSeq lists it as uncharacterized. The record is from RefSeq and is a predicted model, not a curated record. The transcript is spliced from 7 exons. NCBI's taxonomy places the organism in Eukaryota, Metazoa, Arthropoda, Insecta, Hymenoptera, Megachilidae.
UAAUUGGUCCAUUUUAAACUGCUUCGACCAAUGAAAUUUGAUUCUAUGACCGCCGUCAAAACAAAACAAUAUGGUCGCUAGUAUGUAUCCUACGCACAACGGGAACUGAAUCGGGAUGCGUUGUUAAAAUUUCAUUCUUACAAAAGUGGUAACUGAUUUUCGUCAUUGUCAUGAUCAUUGUACUGUUUCACGUGCUUUACCUCUUUGGAAAGUUUGUAUACCAGAAUUACCGAAUUAGGAAAGAAAAAGCCAUAGACAAUGAGGUGACCAACACGCAGAAACCAUUAGAGAUUUCCGAAAAGGAUUAUAGAAUGAUAGAUCCUGAAGCAGCUCAGGAUUUCAAAGAAAAAUCUUUAAGAUUCUUUCCACCGGCAUACGUACAAAGAUACGUUGCUGUUAGCGAGGUUCUUAAUAGUUUCAAGUAUCAAGGAAAGUUACGCAAGGUUGUUGAUUUUGGAUGCGCAGAACUUGAUUUUUUAGUUUAUCUAAAACACACAACUGGUGUUGAAGAAAUAUUAUGCGUCGAUAUCGAUCGAGUACUAUUAGAAAGUUAUAAAGAGAAGGGUGCUCCUUUGAUUUCUGAGUAUUUACACAGAAGGACAACACCUCUUGUGGUUGAAAUAUUCGAGGGUAGUGUUACCCAUAACGACAAGAAACUAGAAAAGACGGAUGCUGUGAUUUGCAUUGAAUUGAUCGAGCAUUUGUAUCCAGAUACUCUGAUGAAUCUUCCUUAUAAUAUUUUUGGAUUCGUUAAACCAAAAUUAGCAGUGAUAACGACACCAAACGCAGAUUUCAAUGUGCUCUUCCCAAAUUUUUCUGGAUUUAGACACGCUGAUCAUAAAUUUGAAUGGACUAGACAACAGUUCCAAGAUUGGGCCGAAAAUAUAAUUUUAAGAUACCCAGAUUAUAUAGUAACUUUUGAUGGUAUUUGUAAAGGACCCGAAGGUUCGGAACAUUUAGGAUGUUGUACGCAGAUGGCAAUAUUUCAUCGACUUUGCGAAAAAGACGCUUUUAAUACCGGUACAGAGGGUUUAUUUAUAACUGUAGCUAGACACGAAUACCCAUUUCGGGUAGACAAUCGUUCCGACGAGCAAAAGAUUCUCGACGAGGCCGAGUAUUACAUUAGACACUUAUCCUUCCAAGAUAUCGCUAUGGAAGAGGAAGUACCAUUGAAAAAACUAUUGGAAAUGUUAAAAUCCUUUCAAAUUUCUAUAGACAUAUUGCAGUCGAUUUUAGAAGAAGCCGGUUGGACAGUUACGAACGGUGAAUUCGGUCCGGUUGUACAAGUUCCCCCGCGUUCAACAUUUUCUGACUACAGUACCGUCGGAGAAGCUUUCUGGUCCAAUGACUAUUCUACGGAUGAGGAUGAUUGGAACAGAGAUCCUGGACCACCUAUCAAUUCUUCGAGAUUUUUACAGCAAAACAACACUUCAGACGCUUGGGACGAGGAGAAUUGGAACGAGGAGCCAAGUAUUAUCAUCCCAGAAAAUAAUUCCAUCAUCGAAGACAAUACCUAUCUUUUUGACGAAGAAAAUGUUUUAUCAAAUAACAUAUCAGAGGCGAUAAAGGAUAGCGAAACUGCUCUAAGCGAAGGAAAUUUACACCCCGAAACAACCGAUACUGAUCAUGCUUUUCAGUAUAAUUUAUCAUUAGAUUUACAACAAUCUACGACGCUUUUCGUAGAUGCUUCUUUAAAUACUGAAGUAAAAAACUUAAAGGAUGAUGAUCCGUUUCUUAAUUUACCACCACCGGAUGUAUCGCAAUGUACAUUAUUAUCAGAUACCGGACCGAAACUCAAUGAAACGUUAGAUUUUUUCCCAUACUUGUCUGCUUCACGUGCGUCAACUUCACCUGAACCAUAUCUCUUGCAAACUGUUCGAAUCGAGCAGCAUUUCACGCACGAUAGUAGUAUGAGUAAUCAUUGGAUGUUGGAUAAUUCUCUAAAUGUUAGCGGAAACGCAAGUGAUAUCGAAGACAAGAAGUUAUCGCCACAGAGUAAUAUUAACGAUAGUUGUCUACGUAAUAUACAUGUAAAUACCUCGUACAUAGAAAAUGAACAUUCUAAUUUCGAACUUUCAACCAAUAGCGAAAGCAUUAGUUCAAACUAUUUUAGUUUAAAACAAAUGCAAAGUGUUGAGCAACAUCCUGACGACUCGAAAGAUAAUUCUCAAUCGCAUGAUCAAUUACAUUCAAACAGUAGCGUAUCAUCUUUGACCAGUUCUGUUUUGACCGAAAAUCAACCACAGUUUACAAGUUCACCAAAAGUUGCUGGAAAGAUAAAUACUACAGAUAAACAAAGAAGAUCUUUAGAUCCUACCAAGCAAAAAUAUAGUAACAGUUCGUUAAAAAGACUACAGCCAUUCUGCUUAACGAGUCACAAUGGCAACAAUUCGUUAGAAAGUACGAAUAAAGUAUCAUUAGAAAGCGAUAGCAAGAUUAGUUGUAAUGAAAAAGAAAGUGAAAAAUUGUGUGAGAGUGAAAUUGAAAUAUCAACAGAUGGAAAAGACGAUACGUUUACUACAAGUACCGAUGUAUCCACAGUUGCUGCUUUAACGUUAAAUGAUGUUCAUCUUGAACAAGUUACAGAUGAUUUGUCGUUAACAAGUACUUUAAGCAACGAUGAUAAUUUAAAGAAACACAAACUGCUACCCCUAGAUCGUGCUAAUAAUUUCAUUGAGAUCGAAGAAGGAGAACAGCCAAAUGGUUACAUUGCUCAAGCAACAGCAACAGCAGUGCAUUCAAGUACUAUAGAAUCAACAAAUUAUGAUAAAAAAGUUCCAUUAACUGAUCAACAGUUAAUCGUUAAGUCAGCAUCUUGUAUGGAUUUUGUUCAUUUUGUGAAAAAUGAUGAAAAAAAGACUGAAAGAAAAUCUGAAUCACGCGAUAUUUCUAACUUGAGAAGCAAUACAGAUAUAGAUACUAGUAAGUCGACGUAUAAUUAUUAUGCCAAAGAAAUUAGUAGUAUAGAAUGCGUACCUCUUGUAUCUAGUGUUUACGUAGAAAACACACAGAAUGUUCAAUCCACAUCAGUAUUAAAAAAUGAUGAAAAACGAGCUGAAUUUAACGAAUCCACGUGUAAAGCUGUAAAUUCAUCAAAUGGUCUAGAAACAGUAGAAAAUAUCGAAAUAUCGAACAACUCUCCUUCAGAAACUGUGGAAACUCCUCCAAACAGUUGGUCACCUGAAAUAAUGGAUUCUGGUUAUCGAAAUUCAACCUCGGCUCAAGACAUGACACCGGAGUACGACUUAUCAAGUAUAGCACAAGAUCAUAUAUCAGAUUCAGAGCCACCAAGUAUAGCGGAAGCACCGAGGCUUGAACUUCCUGAGGUAAUUGAAGUUGUAAACGGUGAUCUUGUAAACAACAAUAGAGAUAACGAGGGUAAUAAUAUGAUAGCUGCAGAAUUAAAUGAUCUUGAAGAUUUGCAACCAUUGAUUAAUGUACUUGAAAAUGAUAUGGAAAAUGAGAAUGAUAUUUACGUCUUGGAGAAUGGUUUUCCCUUCUGGCUGUUGAGAAUACUUAACAUGGCCAAUCCUAUUGAUGUUGAAAUACAUUUGAGAGAUCAUGGAGAAGUAAGAUUCCCAAAUGCAGCAGCAGGUGACGAUGCAAGAUAUAUAAAUAUGGAACACGACGAGGGUUUCAACAGUAGUUCUGAAGAGAAUAGCAACUUGGAAAACAAUGAGAUGAGAAAUGACAACAACAGUGAUGCCAGUGAUAAUAUUGAAAAUGAUAACGAAAAUAGUGAUAGUGGAAGUGAAGAGUGGAUCGCUGCAAGUAAUUCGUGAUGCUAUUGAAACGAUACUUGAUCAUUCUACCAAUGGUGUCACAUAUAUAUCAUUCUUUGCUACGUUUGCAAAAUUUAAAGACAAAUUCAAAGUGGUCUAGGAAUACCAUUUCACAACGAGUAAUGAAUUCGAUGAAAACAAUUGAAGCGAAGAGGAAUUAUUUUCACUCUGUGACGAGAUAUUUUCUAACUGUUUCUAACUGACGAGCAUCAACCUGAUAGUUUAUCAGUAUGUAUGUUAGAUCUGAAUAGAAAGAAAAUAAUUCACUCGGUUCCAAGUGUAAAGGAAAAGAAGCAUUGGGCGUAUGUGUUUGCACCCCCAGCAAAGAAUAGGGAUUACCCUCUGGUUUACUCGUAAACUCGAGAGGACACCGGUGUCUCUGGAUGCAUUGGCGUUCAUUAAAGCCACGGACACACCCUGAUUUCUCGAUUCACGCAUCGAUCUACCCGCGUUUACAACAUCUUUUUAAACGGUCUGUAAACGUUUUACAUGAUUUUAUUCGCAUCGGUAAUAUCAAGUUGGUUUGACAGAAAGGACAACCUUGGAGUCAGCCAUUCGAGCACUAAGGUACCGGAAGUCUUGUUUGUUACGACUACGACGAAUUACCGAACAACUGGCUGAGAGCGCGCAACAACUUUGAAUUGAUUCGAGUAAUUUUCAUCGUUUCAAUCUUAACAGAUAAUACUGUAAUUGUUUUUAAAGUAAAAAAUUGUAGAAAGGUA